AUACAGAGGGUGCGAGCGUUAAUCGGAAUUACUGGGCGUAAAGGGUGCGUAGGUUGCACUGCAAGUUGGAUGUGAAAUACCCAGGCUUAACCUGGGGGUGUCAUUCAAAACUGCGGAGCUAGAGUAAGGUAGAGGGAAGUGGAAUUUCCGGUGUAGCGGUGAAAUGCGUAGAUAUCGGAAGGAACACCAGUGGCGAAGGCGGCUUCCUGGACUAUUACUGACACUGAGGCACGAAAGCGUGGGGAGCAAACAGGAUUAGAUACCCCGGUAGUCC
This 274-nucleotide ribosomal RNA is filed under the name uncultured bacterium. Its description in RNAcentral is "partial 16S ribosomal RNA". It matches the Rfam family "Bacterial small subunit ribosomal RNA", at positions 523 to 796 of the family's 1533-position model. The record is from RNAcentral.